RNAcentral lists this long non-coding RNA (3868 nucleotides) under Homo sapiens (human). RNAcentral describes it as "HSALNT0083066". Lineage: Eukaryota; Metazoa; Chordata; Mammalia; Primates; Hominidae. The record is from RNAcentral.
AGAAACACAAGCAUGGGGCAGGUCCCUGCUAGCCUGACUCACACACACCGCAGCGUCACUGCCCAUGGCGACGGCGUUCCAGACUCACGCACACUCACCACACGCGUCACUGUGCCCAUGGCGACGGCCUUACUGACUCACACUCACCGCACAUGUCAUUGUGCCCGUGGCGACGGCCCUCCUGACUCACACUCACCGCACGUCACUGUGCCCGUGGCGACGGCCCUCCUGACUCACACACGCUCCCCGCACGCGUCGCUCUGCCCGUGGCGACGGCCUUCCUGACUCACACACACAACCCGCACGCGUCGCUCUGCCCACGGCAACAGUGUUCCUGCCUAUCAUCACAACAGGCGACUCAAGAACGUGACGUCAUGUGGACCCCGUGACCAAAACCAGGCCCAUACUACGCCCGUGAUGUUUCCUCUUUCAGGGUGCUGAGACCUGAGACCACACCUGACCUGCCCGGGGCGGCACAGUGAGGGUGACCUGUACCUCUGCUUUACCUGUGUGUCCUCUCUGAUGAGGAAAAGAGGCAGACCACAGAUGCAAACAGGCUGGGAUGCACUCCUCACAGGCUCUCCUGUGCCCAGCGUGCCUGGUCCCACCUCACCUCACCAGAGGGAUGUGCGGAUGCCAGGUGACUUGGGCACAGCUCCUCAGAGGUAAGAAUCACAUGUGACAUCACCUUGUCUGACCCCCUCAACUCACAGACAGUGCUAGGGCGCAUGAGCACCAAGGACAUGCAUGGCAGGGCUGCAGUCCCCUGAGUGCCAGCCCUGCCCUUCUGAGAGUCCAUCGAUUGUCCUGUCCCACCCAGUCACAGGUCUGGGGAGAACCAAGGGAGGGUCCCCAAGGGCCCCAGCUCCGGAACCUUCUCUGAUCACAGUCAGCCCCAAUCCUCACACACCCUUCCCACCCAGUUCUCUCCUGAAGCUUCUGGAGGAGGAUUUGCCUAACAUACAAGACAUUUUUUCAGCUAUACAAUCCAGACAAUUAGAAUUAAUAUUUAAUACUUACUUCCGAAAACCACUUAGAAAAGAGGCUGUGGCUGUUUAUUUCAAUUAAUUGGCCAUAUCGGUACCUGAGAUAGAAAAAAGGAGUUGAGAGAAUUACUAACUGGUCCUGUGGAUCCUCAGCGGCAGCCAUUCACGCGUCCUGAAUGCAACAUCUCAAGUGCCCAGCAUCGGGGGAAUUACAAUUACUGACAAAGAAUUGAGGAAUCCAGCCCUCCGUGUACUAAAUAAUUAUGAAAAAGUCUAACAAGAUUCAAUCAGUAGUUCUAGACUGUAUCAAUUGAGUUAAAGAGUAAAAACUCCCAUUUUAUAUCUAUUUACAAAUUAUAUUUCUAUGUUUAAAAAUAUUAGCAGUACUAACAUAAGACAGAAAACAAAACAAAAUAGAAGCAUCAAGAGCUUUUGGCAGGAGCUGAGCAUUUUCCCCUCCUUCCACAGAACCCUAAACAGCACAGACCCCAGAGCCCAGGAAUGCUCAGGUGGCCCAAAGUUAACCUUAACACACACAGACUGACUGGAACCCAGAAACACUCCUCUAUCCAUUCAGAAGCCCGCAGACAGAUCUGGGCGUGCUUAGCUGCUGACUAAAUCACCAGAGAACAAGACUGAGGCCAGAGAGAAACUGACUUCCAGGUCCUCUUUUCAGUUGCUUCCAUGUCAAAAGUCCACAAAAGAAAAAGAAUUACGUUCAAGAAGCAUCACUGGCAUUCCACGUAAAAAAGAGAGAGACCGUUUACUGAUACUGUUUAUUAAAACAGUGGAGGGAUACAGACAAUCUAACAAAAUAUAGACUGGGUUGAAUAUUAAACAAAAUUAAUUAUAAAACAUUUUGAUUCUUUGAUAGAGUGAGGAAAAGUCUUGCUAGGACUUCUUUUUGCCAUUUCUAAGCCAUAAAACCAAUGCAUAUUUCCAGAUCUUUGUACUGGAAAAAGCUAUAUUCCUUACAAUAACAUUUUCCUUCUCUUGUGUUGCCCUCUCUGCCCCUAGAGAUCUUUUUUGGUUACUCUUUGGAGGCAGGGUCUCACUCCCGUCACCCAGGCUCACCACAGCCUGGACCUCCUGGGCUAAGGUGAUCCUCCCACCUCAGCCUCAAAAGAAGCUGGGACCACAGGCAUGUGCUCCCAGCUAAUUUUUUGUAUUUUUUUGUAGAGACAGGGUUUCUCCAUGUUGGCCAGGCUGGUCUCAAACUCCUGGUUUCAAAUGAUCCACCUGCCUCAGCCUCCCAAAGCGCUGGGAUUACAGGCAUUGAGCCGCCAUGCUGGCAUGCCCCUAGAGAUCUUGAAAACACACAUGUAUUUCAAUAUGUCAAAGCAAAGGGCAAGUUGCUAAACAUAAGCUAAGGGGUCAAAAUAAAGCAAUUUCCCUAUGUAAAAACAUUUACAAGACAUUUUUGAAGAACAAAAAUUAUGUAUACGAAAUUAAACCUCACAGGAUUUCCGCUAGUCAUACUGGAGUAACAGGAAGCAGAUUUACCAUCUAAUCUUAAAUGAGAAAACCUCAUUUAAGGCAAAAUGGAUGAAAUGACAUCUGGUAAGGUUGCUGUACACAGGGCAGUGAGGGCUGGGACUCCUGAGUCGGAAGACCAGGGACCCUCUCUACAAAUGCUCUAACUUUCUUGCCGGGAGGCAUCUUCCAACCACAGGCACGGGAGGGAGCCCAAGUGGAGCACAGCCACUCGCUGAGUCGAGGAGACAGAGAUUGGAGUUCAGGGAGUCUGAAGUGACUGAAGGCUGCAGAACAGAAUUCCAGAGGGGAAGGAAAUAUGAAGAAAUACCUCAGAAGGAGUGCCCAGGAUCCUCAUGGCGCCCCCGAUGUCCUGGAUGAAUACUCAGAUUUUCACUGCUGGGGCCAUCUUCAUUCAGCUGGAAAAUGUGAAGUGCAACAGUGCAUGCACUCAAAUCGAUGGGCUAAAAUGAGGGAAAAGCCAAUAUCGACACACAUUUCCAACUCUCACUUAACUGCAACCAUACAAAUUAGAUGUUAAGGUCUACAAAUAAAAACUGAAUGUACAGUAUAAUCAAAGCUAGUUCUCAGAUUAGAUGAGAAGGCUAUUAUUUUAUUUCAGAUUGAGGAUUGGCUCUUUUGAAAGCUAAUACCCAUCCCUUGCUCUUUGGGCCCUACAUUUACUUACAGAAUGAAAAAGUGCCCUAAAUCCAGCCUCCGGGACGUUAUUAUAUAAAUACACUCACACAGAUGGGACCAAAAACUGAGUUUUAUCAUAUAAGGUUUUUUGUUUUUUUUUAAUUAACUUAUUUUUUGCAACGGGAUCUUGCUUUGUCGCCCAGGCUAGAGUGCAGCAGCACGAUCACAGCUCACAGCAACAUUAAAUUCCUGGACUCAAGUGAUCCUCCCACCUCCAGCCUUCUGAGUAGCUGACACUACAAGUGUGCGCCACCGCACUGGCUAAUUUUUUAAAACUCUUUUUAGAGACGGGGUCUUGCUAUGAUCCCCGGGCCAUUCUCCAAUUCCUGGCCUCAAGUGAUCCUUCCAUCCUUCUCCCACAGUGCUGGGACUACAGGCAUGAGCCACCUUGCCCAGUCGGUUUCCUAACUGUGUCUUUUUACAUUUGUUAUUAACUCAGAGAAAUGUUUACAUUGGUAGAUAGAAAUCUAUUUCAUUCUUCUUAAUGGCUAUAUUGUACAUAGUGUAGAUAUAUGGAAUUCCUACAUUUAUUAACUGACCUCUGGUGGACAGUUAAAAUAUUUCAAAUUGUUGGCUAUUAUUAACAGCAUCUAACAAACAUCUGUUCAGAAAGAUCUACAAAAUUGCAUGAUUAUCAGCUACGAUAAAUUCCUACAAGUGAAUCUGCAGUCAGAGAACAUUAGAACUUUCCCUGGGCAGCCCGUGCCCUC